CAGAAAUCUUGGCUGUCUGGCAGAAUUGAUGCCUAGAGUAUCGAUAUGUUGAUCUAUGAGGCCCAGAAUGGGCUAGCAUAGCAGAUGUGUGUGGUGGAGGAAAGCAGGUCAAGUGUGUGAGCAGGAAAUAUGAAAAGAUACAAAUGCUGUGGUUAAUAUUAGGCAGUUCUUGGCAUCCAGUGCUAUAUGUUAUCAUGUUCCAAUUACAAAGCAAAGAGUUCACCCUCACAGUGAUUACUUUUAUUCAUUUCCUAGGGUUGUCAUAACAGAUUACCACAAACAGGAUGACUUGAAACAACAGAAAUGUAUUCUUUCAGAGUCUGGAGGCCAGAAGUCUGAAAUGAAGUUGUCAGCAGGAUUGGUUCCUUUUGGAGGCUCUGGAGAAGACUGCUCCUUAUCUCUCUCUGAACUGGUAGUGGCUGCUGGCAAUCCUUGACAUUCUUUGGCUUGUAAAUACAUCGCUUUAAACUCUGUUUCUGUCUUCACAUGGCCUUUCUCUCUGUGUUUUUCCUGUGUCUCUCUGUGUUUCAAAUUUCUCUCUUCUUUCUCUUAUAAAGACACCGCUCAUUGGACUUAGGACCCACCCUAAAUCCAGGAUGAUCUAAUCUCGAGAUUCUUGAUUACAUCUGGAAGGACGCUAUUUCCAAAUAAGAAUCCCUGGGGGCCAGCAGGAAGGGGGCUGUAUACUCCAUGACACAAUUCAGAAAGGAGAAGACCUCAAGAAGAAGACCUUGAGACUGGAUGUCAGAAACAGGAGCUGGCCAGGUGAGCAAGGCUAGAAGUUGAAGAGAAGACAGCUGUUCUGACAUCAAUACCACACGUUCCUUCAUCCCACUGUUCUUUAAGAAGAAGUGACAGACACUUUACCAGGACAACAGAAAGAGGACUGAAUGAGGAAAUAGAAUGUGAGUCCCCAAAAGACUGCCUGUCUGUUGGGUUGUGAUUUUGAAGUGGCUUGAGUAUUACCUGGCAAGACCACAAUAGGUUUUUGAAAGAGACGAGCAGGCUCCCAUUUGUUAAAGCUGUAAGUAGUUUGAAUCAACGUUAGGCUGCCAAAGAUCUGCUCACUUUAGGCUAUACCUAGGGCUUCUGGCUUCAGAAGGUUUCCUUGUUAGGUGAACAGUCUUAAAUAAAUCAUAUAAACAAAUCCUUGCUCAAUGCCCACUCAUUGCAGAGCACUGGUUUUGUCAUUCUGUGGUUGGCAAAGGGAUGAUUCCUGCCUUUGAGAAGUCUAGGGUUUGUCAAGAGUCAUAACGGAUAUUGCAUAAAAUAUUUCAAAGUCAUGAUAACUUCAAAGUAUAUCCCAGCCAGGCCACCAUUACCAUCUGCUAUAACUGCUUUGGUAUACAACUUUAUAAGGGGAGAUUUCUUAGGAUGUUAGCUGGCUUAACUGAAUAUUCUCAUCCAUGGAAGUAGAUGGCUGUGUGUGUGUGUGUGUGUGUGUGUGUGUGUGUGUAUUUUGACAUUCUUGAAUAUCCAAAUCUCUUUCUGAGACAAUUAAGAACAAAGUGACUGAAAUGUUAUGGCAAGUGUCUAAUUUGACUUUUUUUUUUUUUUUUUUUAAGUCCGGCCAUGAAAAAUUUCAAAUGUCAGGGGAAAAAAGUCUGCUUUUAGAUAGCAGCAUUUUCCUUUGGUGAUCUGCCAUAUAAACUCUAUCAGCAACUAUUGGAUUCUUAAAUCUUUCCAAAUGUUAGGUGUUAAGGAAAAUGGGAAAGGUAUUAAACUUGUGCCCAAGGGGAAAUACCAACCAUAAACAUACAAUCAACUAGAAUUAAAAUCUUCAAUUUUAUAUAAUUUAUGUGGAGAUGAGCAACACUAAAAAAAACCAAAAUUUAUUAAAAAGAUGAAACAGAAGUCAUCUGAAACAGCAUGAAACAGAAUGAAGUCAUCUUCAGGCAUUGGAAAAUGUCUUUAGCUUUCAAAGUAGAUAGUCUACCUUUGGGAGCAUUCCUAACAGCACAGGAGUGGAUUAUGAGUCUAGGUAUGAAACUGAGGCCAUGUUGAUUAACCAAACAGAAACGUUUUUCACAAGGAAAACAUUGUAUAUUACAAUGCUUUAGAAAUUUCUUCCAGUUUGUUUUAAGCAGAAAUUCCUCUAGUCAAAUGAAAUUUUAUCUGAAAUCCCAAUUUAUACAGCAGGUAGAAGUCAUGUUUUAGUAAA
Long non-coding RNA from Felis catus (domestic cat), 2161 nucleotides. RefSeq lists it as uncharacterized. Lineage: Eukaryota; Metazoa; Chordata; Mammalia; Carnivora; Felidae. The record is from RefSeq and is a predicted model, not a curated record. The transcript is spliced from 3 exons.